CAUUGAUACCAGAGUUAUGAUGUUGUCCAUUCCUACACGGAGGCUGGACAAGCUACUGUCGUCUGUCCGAUAUCUGUUAGAUCAUCCAGAUGUCUUUGAGAUUGCGUACGCUGAUGACAUUCAUAGCCUUUCAGGCCCAGGCAGAGAGUUGGUCAUUGUAUGGCUCGGUGCCAUGAGAGCAGC
This is a long non-coding RNA of Haliotis rubra (blacklip abalone), 183 nucleotides long. RefSeq lists it as uncharacterized. The transcript has 3 exons. NCBI's taxonomy places the organism in Eukaryota, Metazoa, Mollusca, Gastropoda, Lepetellida, Haliotidae. The record is from RefSeq and is a predicted model, not a curated record.